AUGCAAGUCGAGGGGGAUCCGGGAGCUUGCUCCCGGUGAGACCGGCGCACGGGUGCGUAACGCGUAUGCAACCUGCCUCCGUCUGGGGGAUAGCCCGGAGAAAUCCGGAUUAACACCGCAUAAAAACACAGUACAGCAUUGUACAAUGUUCAAAUAUUCAUAGGACGGAGAUGGGCAUGCGUGCCAUUAGCUGGUUGGCGGGGUAACGGCCCACCAAGGCGACGAUGGCUAGGGGAUCUGAGAGGAUGGCCCCCCACACUGGUACUGAGACACGGACCAGACUCCUACGGGAGGCAGCAGUAAGGAAUAUUGGUCAAUGGGGGCAACCCUGAACCAGCCAUGCCGCGUGCAGGAAGACAGCCCUACGGGUCGUAAACUGCUUUUGUACGGGAACAAACCCCUCCUCGUGAGGAGGGCUGAGCGUACCGUAAGAAUAAGGAUCGGCUAACUCCGUGCCAGCAGCCGCGGUAAUACGGAGGAUCCGAGCGUUAUCCGGAUUUAUUGGGUUUAAAGGGAGCGUAGGCGGCCCGUUAAGUCAGGGGUGAAAGACGGUGGCUCAACCAUCGCAGUGCCUUUGAUACUGACGGGCUUGAAUACACCUGAGGUAGGCGGAAUGUGGCAAGUAGCGGUGAAAUGCAUAGAUAUGCCACAGAACACCGAUUGCGAAGGCAGCUUACUAAAGUGUGAUUGACGCUGAGGCUCGAAAGCGUGGGGAUCAAACAGGAUUAGAUACCCUGGUAGUCCACGCCCUAAACGAUGAUAACUCGAUGUCGGCGAUAUACGGCCGGCGUCCAAGCGAAAGCGUUAAGUUAUCCACCUGGGGAGUACGCCCGCAAGGGUGAAACUCAAAGGAAUUGACGGGGGCCCGCACAAGCGGAGGAGCAUGUGGUUUAAUUCGAUGAUACGCGAGGAACCUUACCCGGGCUUGAAAGUUACUGAAGGCACUGGAGACAGUGCCGUCCCUCGGGACAGGAAACUAGGUGCUGCAUGGCUGUCGUCAGCUCGUGCCGUGAGGUGUUGGGUUAAGUCCCGCAACGAGCGCAACCCCUAUGUUUAGUUGCCAGCAUGUCAAGGUGGGGACUCUAAACAGACUGCCUACGUAAGUAGAGAGGAAGGUGGGGACGACGUCAAGUCAUCAUGGCCCUUACGUCCGGGGCUACACACGUGCUACAAUGGACGGUACAGAGGGCAGCCACCCCGCAAGGGGGCGCGAAUCUCACAAAGCCGUUCACAGUUCGGAUCGGGGUCUGCAACUCGACCCCGUGAAGUUGGAUUCGCUAGUAAUCGCGUAUCAGCAAUGACGCGGUGAAUACGUUCCCGGGCCUUGUACACACCGCCCGUCAAGCCAUGGAAGCCGGGGGCGCCUAAAGUCCGUGACC
This 1379-nucleotide ribosomal RNA is filed under the name Pedobacter sp. b3W6a-b1. RNAcentral describes it as "16S ribosomal RNA". It matches the Rfam family "Bacterial small subunit ribosomal RNA". The record is from RNAcentral. Lineage: Bacteria; Pseudomonadati; Bacteroidota; Sphingobacteriia; Sphingobacteriales; Sphingobacteriaceae.